Molecule: long non-coding RNA, 226 nt
Organism: Fukomys damarensis (Damara mole-rat)
Lineage: Eukaryota; Metazoa; Chordata; Mammalia; Rodentia; Bathyergidae
Exons: 2
Source: RefSeq, a predicted model, not a curated record
CUCCGGGCACCAUGGGACCUGCCUCAGGUCCCAGCCGGCUGCUACUCCUGCUGGCCAGCCUCCCCCUCGUCCUGGGAGCCCCUAUGUAUUCGAUCAUCACCCCAAACAUCCUGCGGCUGGAGAAGGAGGAGACCGUAGUCCUGGAGGCCCACGAAGCCCAAGGCGACAUUCCGGUCACGGUCACCGUCCAUGACUUCCCGGCCAAGAAGCAGGUGCUGUCCAGUGA